This 774-nucleotide non-coding RNA is filed under the name Drosophila virilis. RNAcentral's name for it is "Eukaryotic large subunit ribosomal RNA". It matches the Rfam family "Eukaryotic large subunit ribosomal RNA", at positions 1 to 647 of the family's 3401-position model. The record is from Rfam by way of RNAcentral. Lineage: Eukaryota; Metazoa; Arthropoda; Insecta; Diptera; Drosophilidae.
CAACCUCAACUCAUAUGGGACUACCCCCUGAAUUUAAGCAUAUUAAUUAGGGGAGGAAAAGAAACUAACAAGGAUUUUCUUAGUAGCGGCGAGCGAAAAGAAAUCAGUUCAGCACUAAGUCACUUUGUCUAUAUGGCAAAUGUGAGAUGCAGUGUACGGAACAUCAACAUUCUAGUAUGAGAAGUUAACGAUUUAAGUCCUUCUUAAAUGAGGCCAUUUACCCAUAGAGGGUGCCAGGCCCGUAUAACGUUAAUGAUUACUAGAUGGUGUUUCCAAAGAGUCGUGUUGCUUGAUAGUGCAGCACUAAGUGGGUGGUAAACUCCAUCUAAAACUAAAUAUAACCAUGAGACCGAUAGUAAACAAGUACCGUGAGGGAAAGUUGAAAAGAACUCUGAAUAGAGAGUUAAAUAGUACGUGAAACUGCUUAGAGGUUAAGCCCGAUGAACCUGAAUAUCCGUUAUGGAAAAUUCAUCAUUAGAAUUGUAAUAUUUUAAACAAUAUUAUAAUAAUAGUGUGCAUUUUUUCCAUAUAAGGACAUUGUAAUCUAUUAGCAUAAAUAUUUAUCAUAAAAUUAUGUCUGAUUGCUUUAUUGAAUAUAUGCUUGGCAUUUAACAUAAAAUAAAAGAUAUAAAUUUGAUAAGUGCUGAUAGAUUUAUAUGAUUACAGCGCGUUAAUUUUUCGGAAUUAUAUAAUGGCAUAAUUAUCAUUGAUAUUUGUGUUUAUGAUAUGCAUUUGUAUGAUUUACAAUGCGAAAGAUUCAGGAUACCUUCGGGA